Acanthosepion pharaonis is the source of this 111-nucleotide non-coding RNA. NCBI's taxonomy places the organism in Eukaryota, Metazoa, Mollusca, Cephalopoda, Sepiida, Sepiidae. The record is from the annotation of a GenBank genome assembly.
UUACAGCCAUAUCAGGUUGAAACACCAGUUCUCACAUAAUCCCUGAAGUUAAGCAACUUCAAGCCUGGUCAGUACCUAGAUGGGUGACUGCUUGGGUAUACCAGUUGGUGG